AGUGAACGCUGGCGGUAGGCCUAACACAUGCAAGUCGAACGGCAGCACAGUAAGAGCUUGCUCUUACGGGUGGCGAGUGGCGGACGGGUGAGGAAUACAUCGGAAUCUACUUUUUCGUGGGGGAUAACGUAGGGAAACUUACGCUAAUACCGCAUACGACCUACGGGUGAAAGCAGGGGAUCUUCGGACCUUGCGCGAUUGAAUGAGCCGAUGCCGGAUUAGCUAGUUGGCGGGGUAAAGGCCCACCAAGGCGACGAUCCGUAGCUGGUCUGAGAGGAUGAUCAGCCACACUGGAACUGAGACACGGUCCAGACUCCUACGGGAGGCAGAAGUGGGGAAUAUUGGACAAUGGGCGCAAGCCUGAACCAGCCAUACCGCGUGGGUGAAGAAGGCCUUCGGGUUGUAAAGCCCUUUUGUUGGGAAAGAAAAGCAGAAGGUUAAUAACCCGCUGUUAUGACGGUACCCAAAGAAUAAGCACCGGCUAACUUCGUG
Molecule: ribosomal RNA, 492 nt
Filed under: uncultured bacterium
Lineage: Bacteria
Description: partial 16S ribosomal RNA
Rfam family: Bacterial small subunit ribosomal RNA
Source: RNAcentral